This 253-nucleotide ribosomal RNA is filed under the name uncultured bacterium. RNAcentral's name for it is "partial 16S ribosomal RNA". It matches the Rfam family "Bacterial small subunit ribosomal RNA", at positions 524 to 776 of the family's 1533-position model. The record is from RNAcentral.
UACGUAGGAGGCAAGCGUUGUCCGGAAUUACUGGGUGUAAAGCGCGUGUAGGCGGCAGGCCAAGUCUGUGGUGAAAUCGCUCGGCUCAACUGGGCGGGGUUCAUGGAAACUGGUCAGCUGGAGGACGGUAGAGGUGAGUGGAAUUCCCGGUGUAGUGGUGAAAUGCGUAGAGAUCGGGAGGAACACCCGUGGCGAAGGCGGCUCACUGGGCCGGUCCUGACGCUGAGACGCGAAGGCGUGGGGAGCGAACGGG